RNAcentral lists this ribosomal RNA (946 nucleotides) under uncultured Thermoproteales archaeon. RNAcentral's name for it is "bacterial SSU rRNA". It matches the Rfam family "Archaeal small subunit ribosomal RNA", at positions 1 to 926 of the family's 1478-position model. Lineage: Archaea; Thermoproteati; Thermoproteota; Thermoprotei; Thermoproteales. The record is from RNAcentral.
UUCCGGUUGAUCCUGCCGGACCCGACUGCUAUCGGGGUGGGGCUAACCCAUGGAAGUCUAGGAGCCGGGGCUACGGCCGGCUCCGGCGGACGGCUCAGUAGCACGUGGCUAACCUACCCUCGGGAGGGGGAUAACCCCGGGAAACUGGGGAUAAUCCCCCAUAGGUGCAGACUCCUGGAAUGGGUCUGCGCCGAAAGGGCUGCAGCGCCAUGCCCGCUGUAGCCGCCCGAGGAUGGGGCUGCGGCCCAUCAGGUAGUUGGCGGGGUAACGGCCCGCCAAGCCGAUAACGGGUGGGGGCCGUGAGAGCGGGAGCCCCGAGAUGGGCACUGAGACAAGGGCCCAGGCCCUACGGGGCGCACCAGGGGCGAAACUUCCGCAAUGCGGGAAACCGUGACGGAGUCACCCCGAGUGCCACCCGAUGAGGGUGGCUUUUGCCCGGUCUAAAAAGCCGGGCGAAUAAGCGGGGGGCAAGCCUGGUGUCAGCCGCCGCGGUAAUACCAGCCCCGCGAGUGGUCGGGACGAUUAUUGGGCCUAAAGCGUCCGUAGCCGGCCCGGUAAGUCCCCCUUUAAAGCCCACGGCUCAACCGUGGGAGCGGGGGGAUACUGCCGGGCUAGGGGGCGGGAGAGGCCGGGGGUACUCCUGGGGUAGGGGCGAAAUCCUAUAAUCCCAGGAGGACCACCAGUGGCGAAGGCGCCCGGCUGGAACGCGCCCGACGGUGAGGGACGAAAGCUGGGGGAGCAAAGGGGAUUAGAUACCCCCGUAGUCCCAGCUGUAAACGAUGCGGGCUAGGUGUUGGGCGGGCCUCGAGCUCGCCCAGUGUCGUAGGGAAGCCGUUAAGCCCGCCGCCUGGGGAGUACGGCCGCAAGGCUGAAACUUAAAGGAAUUGGCGGGGGAGCACCACAAGGGGUGAAGCUUGCGGUUUAAUUGGAUUCAACGCCGGAAAUC